UCCGCGAUAGCUCAGUCGGUAGAGCGGGUGGCUGUUAACCACUAGGUCCCAGGUUCGAGUCCUGGUCGCGGAGCCA
Molecule: transfer RNA, 76 nt
Filed under: Candidatus Hydrogenedentes bacterium ADurb.Bin179
Lineage: Bacteria; Pseudomonadati; Candidatus Hydrogenedentota
Also listed under: 2 other names
Description: tRNA-Asn
Rfam family: tRNA
About the family: Transfer RNA (tRNA) molecules are approximately 80 nucleotides in length. Their secondary structure includes four short double-helical elements and three loops (D, anti-codon, and T loops).
Source: RNAcentral